UGAUUGUGUGCCAGUGGAGGGAUGAAUAGAGCGGCGUAUGGUCACGCGUGUCCAGCAUGCGCACAUACAACUCUAUGCGUUUCAUCAGGAUGAUCGGGGCUCAUGCGAAGGAUAUUAUUUGUCCAGAGAGCACACAUUUGUCUUAACAUCGUUGUUCUUGGACUUGUGGACUACUGGGCCUCUUACAACCUUGUAAAUUCUAAAUUUAUUCAUUCUUUUGCUGGGUUUAAAGUAGCUCGAAAGCUGCUUUUGAUCCAGUAGGUACAGUUGUAGCCUACUAAAAGAAAGCGCGUCCAAUUUGAUAAAAGUCAAAGGAAGCAACUGAUAGCCUACAUUGUUUAGAAAUAACACGUAAAAGUUCUUAUAUUAAAGAAUCAGUGCUUUGACUUCAGGGAAAUAAACAUGUCCAGCAGAAGUAUCGAGUGGGAGCAUUUCGAGGAGCGCGAGAAGAGUCACCGUUCUCCGCGCGGCAGCGCCGGUACUCACUCCGGCUCGCGGGGUAACGGGCUCGUGCCAAGUCCCGCACACAGCGCGCACUGUAGCUUCUACCGCACGCGCACCCUGCAGUCGCUCACCACCGAGAAGAAAGCGAAGAAAGUUCGCUUUUAUCGAAACGGCGACCGAUAUUUCAAGGGCUUGGUGUACGCGGUGUCCCAUGACAGAUUCAGGUCAGUGGAUGCGCUGCUGAUGGAGCUGACCCGCUCUCUGUCGGACAAUGUAAACUUACCACAGGGAGUCCGGAGCAUCUACACUAUAGACGGGACGAAGAAGAUCACCAGCCUGGAUGAGUUAAUAGAAGGAGAGAGCUAUGUGUGCUCCUCAAACGAACCCUACCGUAAAGUGGACUACACCAAGAACGUUAACCCAAACUGGUCGGUCAACGUGAAAACGGUCAUGUCGCGCUCGCUACCGUCACUUAUCACCACUAAGAAUGAGCAGAGAGAACGGGAGAGCAAAGACUUCAUCAAACCCAAGCUGGUGACGGUCAUCCGUAGCGGCGUCAAACCGCGCAAGGCCGUCCGGAUCCUACUGAACAAAAAAACGGCUCACUCCUUUGAGCAGGUGCUCACGGACAUUACCGACGCCAUUAAACUGGACUCGGGGGCCGUGAAGAGACUCUAUACUCUGGAAGGCAAACAAAUUACAUGUUUGCUGGAUUUUUUCGGGGAGGAUGACGUGUUCAUUGCAUGCGGGCCUGAGAAAUUCCGCUAUGCACAGGAUGAUUUUGUGUUGGAUCACAGUGGUAAGGCUUCUGCAGCCUUUCUAACCGAGUGUCGAGUAAUCAAGUCGUCUUACUCUCCUCGUUCUCCUGCCCCUGUGAGAUACUCUGGAAUUAAAAGUCCAGGUGUGACCCGACGCAGCAAAUCCCCUGGAUCAGUGAGAAGAACUGCAGGACACUUCUCUAGUCAGUCUCCAGUUAAAUCACCAAUAAAUGGAGCACCCAACAGCCAAAUCACAACCCCCAAAUCUGCCAAAUCCUCCAGCUCCUCCCCAACCAGCCCCCGCAGCAUGCGCAACUUUAAGUUUAGUUGCAACAAGCGGAUGGGAGUCCCCCUCCGUCUCACUCGACAGAUUCCAGCACAUCACUCUUCUAUAACCAAUGUGAACGGCUCCUCUGAGCAGCCCCAGCAACAUAACAACAGUGUGAGCCCUGAAGUUAAUGGCAAUCGGAACCUUGCUGCCUCCACUAUUUUGGACAAGUACAAAAUUGGCAAAGUUAUAGGUGAUGGAAACUUUGCUGUUGUAAAGGAGUGUGUUGAGCGAUGCACCGGAAAGGAGUUUGCACUAAAAAUCAUUGACAAAAACAAAUGCCGUGGAAAAGAGCACCUGAUCGAGAAUGAGGUGGCGGUGCUGAGGCGUGUGAAGCAUCCUAAUAUAAUUAUGCUGAUUGAGGAGGUGGAUACGCCCACUGAGCUCUAUCUAGUCAUGGAACUUGUGAAGGGUGGAGAUCUAUUUGAUGCAAUCACCUCCUCCACAAAAUACACUGAAAGAGAUGCUAGUGCAAUGGUUUUCAACCUGGCUGCGGCUCUCAAAUAUCUGCACAGAAUGAGUAUCGUCCAUCGAGACAUCAAACCUGAGAAUCUGCUGGUGUGUGAGUACCCUGAUGGCACCAAGUCUUUAAAGCUGGGUGAUUUUGGCUUGGCCACAGUGGUAGAGGGGCCGCUGUACACUGUGUGUGGAACACCCACUUACGUAGCCCCAGAGAUCAUAGCGGAGUCAGGCUACGGGUUAAAGGUGGACAUCUGGGCAGCUGGUGUGAUUACCUACAUCCUACUGUGUGGCUUCCCACCAUUCCGCAGUGAAAACAACUUUCAGGAAGACCUUUUUGAUCAGAUCCUGGUGGGCCGCUUAGAGUUUCCUUCACCCUUCUGGGACAAUAUCACAGAUUCUGCUAAAGAGCUGAUUGGUCAUAUGCUGCAUGUGAAUGUGGAGGCCAGAUACACUGCAGAAGAUGUUCUCUGUCAUCACUGGGUCACUGUAAAUGAGGAUACUGCAAUGGAUAACAAUAUGAAGAUGGAGGUGGCAGGUAAACUCAAAAAGCACUUUAACUCUGUGCAGAAACAGAGCAACACUACUCCUGGAGUCUCUGUGAUUAUGGUGAGAACACACACUGAUGUUUGUGAUAGUUUGCGCUUAAAAACACAAUCCUCAUAUUCCUGGGCUGGGUUUCCCGAAACCUUCUUAACGCUACGCCACUCUUAAGUUAUACCUUAAAGAUGGGGUACACACGCAGUUUCUGCCAAUCUCAUAUUAAUGUUGAGUACCUAUACAGUAGUAUUGCAUACUUUGUAUAUUCAAAGAGUAUUUAGUUUGAUCAAAUUUAUAAAAGAGAGAUAUAGCUGUAUGAUUAUUUCCGGAAAAAGACGAGCUGCUGGAGGCAAGCAGGGGCGACGGAACUACAUCACGAGCACACAAUACAUCAUCACAAUAUCCCUUCGUGUUGUUUACAUUAUGCACAUACGCGCCGAUUGCCAACAAAACACAGACAUAUGAGUUUGAUUUACAACGUGAGGUUCAUGUCCGGCAUCUUUUAGCGCUGGGACCGCACCAUCUAUCAGUUUUAAACGAUCUCCAAAUUCAGCGUUAUAUCCACCGUUUAUAAAACACUCAUCACUGAAAUGCAGUGUGCAAACAAACACAGCUAAACUUCCGUCAGCUGAGUGAACCGGCAUAGAUGGACGUUGUAACGCGUGGCCUUGCUCUUUAUCUCCCGCUAGCGCGUGGUCCUUCGCUCGGUGGAUGAUGCGUGGGCUUGCUUUUCCAGGAGAAUGGCCAAUAAAAGGAAUAGGUUACGAAACAGGGAUCCAGGCUUAUAAAAAACCGAAACAAGUUGGAGUGCUGGGGGAGUGUAUCGAGCACAGAAAUACUACGUCAUACGUCCAACUCAUUUUUUAACAAGUUGACCAUGUUAAGCAUGAGAUGCCAGCAGGCUUAACAGUGUAAAGAAGUCAGAAUGCAUGAAAUAGCAUGUUACCCCAUCUUUAAGAGUGGUAGCGAUAUAUUCUUCAGAAUGACGUAGUGAUACAAAGGUUUUGGGAAACCCAGCCCUGGUCUCUACUGAUUAGUAUUUGGAUUACACAUAAUUCCAACACAUAGCGUCACUGAAAUUCCAGCUGCUGUAUAAAAUACAAAUCAAUCAGUUUCUGGCCCCAACGCUCAUGAUUUACAUAACUGACAAAUCUCAGCAAGAGCAUUAGGGAUUAUUGUAUUGUAAGCAAGCACAUCACAAAAUAUGCCAGAUCUAUGAAAUUAGAAAAGUCUUCUGGGAACAGCACACUGGCCCCAGAGCUUUCACAGUGCUUGACUACGGCAGAAUAACUCAUCAUAAUCCUUUUAUUAUUUGGCAGAAUGUGCUCUUUGAGGCACGAGUGAAGCAUUUUCAGCCAUUUCCACCCUCACAUUCAACUGAGCUCUCAUUCCAAACACAUUGAACAAGGAAGUGAUGGUGUUAAUACUCAUUUGUGCACCUUCUGCACCAUACUCUGCCUUGUGUCUCAGUUCGUCUCCCUGUUAGUCUCUGUUGUAUUCAAUGUUUUUAGUGGUCUGUCGUGCAGCUUCAUUGCUACAUAUUGUUUGUUCACUUAUUCUUAAACUUUGGACUAGGAAAAGUGAUCUUAAAUUAAAGAUCACAGUCUACAUUUAAACAGAAACAUCCUUUUUUAUUAUUAUUUUAAUAAACAUUUACUCGGUAACACUUUACAUUUGUUAAAAGGAUUGUCCACCCAAAAAUGAAAAUUCUGUCAUGAAUUACUCACCCUCAAGUUGUGACAAACCUGUAUACAAAAUUUGGUUGAACACAAAUAAAGAUAGAUAGAUAAUAGAUGGAUGAAUGUUACCAACUGAGAUUUCUGGGGCAUAAUUGACUACCAUAGUAGGAAAACUUAUUGUAUAAUCAAGAAUUUAGGAAAGCAAACAGUUCUGGGGCACCUUUGACUACCAUUAAAAUUUUCCUACAGUGGUAGUCAAAAAUCUCAGUUGCUAACAUUCAUCCAAAUAUCUUUGUGUUCAACCAAACAAAGAAAUGUAUACAGGUUUGGAACAACUUGAGGUUGAGUAAUUCAUGACAGAAUUUUCAUUUUUUGGUGGACUAUCCCUUUUUACGCUCUAGCAUCCAUCAACCAACAAUAAACAUUAUAUUUUAUAGCAUUUAUUAAUCUUUGUUAAUGAUAAUUAAUAUAAAUACACAUUUUGAAAAACGUGUAGCAAAUAGUAAACUAAGGUUAAUAAAUGCUGUAUGUUAAUGAAGGUAGUAAACUAAUGUUAUGAAUAAAACCUUAUUAUAACGUGUUACCAUUUACUUUACUUUUUGGUUUAAAUAUUAGUUCCUCCACUUGAAAGAAAUUCCUCUUUUUAGCCCAGCAUAUAUGUCAUUUUUGGAGAAAAUUGUUUUAUUAUAGCAUAUAAAUAUACAUUUUAAUACAUUGUAAUAUAUUGCAAUAUAAUAUUGUAAUGCAUUAUAUUUAAAUUUUUUAAAAAUAAGAAAUUAUUAUUGCUCAUUUUCCAUUGAAAAACAAAAGGAGUGUUCUGGAGCAAUUUUUUAAAAGCAGCAGUGGGGACUCUGCCUGAAUGUGUAUUGAUGUUAAUCUCAUUUGACAGUUUGAACUGUAAAGGGCAGUAUCUACACCCCCUUGCUUUCCCGAGACCCGAAGUGAUGUCUGCCACUGGAAAUUGGGUAUUUGACUCCAAGUCUAAACCUGUUUUUAAUAUGCUGCAGUUCUUUAUGACUCUGUACUAAAACACUCAAGUCUGUCUAAAAUCUGAGCUUGACCAAGAACUCUGUAGAUUUUGACUGACAUUUGUUAAUUCUCACAGGGCUUAUUUUAUUUAGCCUGGUCUUGCUUCUAAUUCCAGUCUCUUUUCAAUCUUGCCAUUUUUACAUUCCACUCCAUGGCUGUUUUAGAUAGCUACUUUGUCACAUUGUUUUCGUUGCACAUUAUUGUAUAAUGUUUUUUCUGGGCUCUAGCUGGAAGGUUUGUAUUGGCGUGCAUGCAUUACUGACCGAAUUAACACAGCAAUGCGAUAGCUUCUCUCUCUUUCUGUCAAGUAAUCCAGAGACAGUUUACUGGCAGUAUUUUCACCUCAUGCCAUUGCCAUCUCAAUUGGAAAGAAAAUGGUUUAAACAUGUAAAAAACCUGCCACCUUCUGGCCAAGUGCUAUAAAAUAAAACAAUCAAUCUACCUGUCAAUUCUUUAGAUGACAGAGAUGGACAGAUGCAAAAUUAUUCCCAGAAAUUGCCUUGGAUGAAAUAUUUACUGAAGGUUUUUGAAAAUACAUCAAAUGGCAUUUUGUUUAUUUUUGCAGCCGCUAUAUUUACUGGUUGUAGUCACUUUGCCAGUUUUCUUUGCGUUACUGACGUUAGACUUUAGAUCAUGAUAUAACGGGGUAAUUUACGCAAAAUUCAGGCAUUUGCCGAACAACCUUGUUCCAAACCUGUAUGUUGUUAAUACUUCUGUGGUCCAUAAAUCUUUACUGAUAAUCUUUUGCAGCUCUUACAUCAAAUGUGCCACUGAAUUUACUUAAAUUGAAUCGUUUACCACACAAAGCUAUAAGGUUUCAGAAAAGUUAAAAUAUAAAGAACACGUCGCACGGGCUAUUUUUAUUCUGCUUUUAUAGCCUGUGGAAGAGAGUGUUUAAAAGACCUAUACAGCACGUGAAGAUACUUAUUUACAAAAUGAAUAUGGGUUUGGAAUAACAUUAGUUUUUUUUAUAAAUUAUCCCUAAAGUGGCUACUUUAAUUAAGUGUCCCAAUUUAGGACCCGACACUGGUAUUAAUUAUGUAGUCCUUGUGUUAGAGGUUAUAUGUUAGAACGGUGUGUAUGAAUUUGUGCUGUAUGUGCUCUGUGAGUAAGACUAGUCUCUGUCCUCUGCUUCUGCUUUCCCCUUGGCAUUGCUAUUCUCUGACUAGCUCCAAGGCAAUGAACACAGCUCUAGAUAAGGAAACCAUCCAGUUUACUCGUCUUCGCCAGGAUCGCAGUUCCCCUCUAGGAAAGAGCCCCUCCUCCACACAGCCAGAGAGAAGACGCUCCUACAA
This is an RNA transcript of Triplophysa rosa, 6532 nucleotides long. It is a transcript of the gene named doublecortin-like kinase 2a, with no coding region annotated. NCBI's taxonomy places the organism in Eukaryota, Metazoa, Chordata, Actinopteri, Cypriniformes, Nemacheilidae. The record is from RefSeq and is a predicted model, not a curated record. The transcript has 18 exons.